GUGCUUGCUUUGGCAACACAUAUACUAAAACUAAUGAAACAAGACAGAGAAGAUUAGCAUGGCUCUUACGCAGGGAUGACAUGAAAAUUUGUGAAGCAUUUAUUCUAAAA
Small nuclear RNA from Heterocephalus glaber (naked mole-rat), 110 nucleotides. NCBI's taxonomy places the organism in Eukaryota, Metazoa, Chordata, Mammalia, Rodentia, Bathyergidae. The record is from Ensembl.